Molecule: ribosomal RNA, 890 nt
Filed under: uncultured bacterium
Lineage: Bacteria
Also listed under: 1 other name
Description: bacterial SSU rRNA
Rfam family: Bacterial small subunit ribosomal RNA
Source: RNAcentral
AGACUUUGAUUCUGGCUCAGGAUGAACGCUGGCGGCGUGCUUAACACAUGCAAGUCGAACGAAGCACUUUAACUUGAUUCUUCGGAUGAAGGUUUUUGUGACUGAGUGGCGGACGGGUGAGUAACGCGUGGGUAACCUGCCUCGUACAGGGGGAUAACAGUUAGAAAUGGCUGCUAAUACCGCAUAAGACCACGGAGCCGCAUGGCUCAGUGGGAAAAACUCCGGUGGUAUGAGAUGGACCCGCGUCUGAUUAGGUAGUUGGUGGGGCAACGGCCUACCAAGCCAACGAUCAGUAGCCGACCUGAGAGGGUGACCGGCCACAUUGGGACUGAGACACGGCCCAAACUCCUACGGGAGGCAGCAGUGGGGAAUAUUGCACAAUGGGGGAAACCCUGAUGCAGCGACGCCGCGUGAGCGAAGAAGUAUUUCGGUAUGUAAAGCUCUAUCAGCAGGGAAGAAAAUGACGGUACCUGACUAAGAAGCACCGGCUAAAUACGUGCCAGCAGCCGCGGUAAUACGUAUGGUGCAAGCGUUAUCCGGAUUUACUGGGUGUAAAGGGAGCGUAGACGGCUGUGUAAGUCUGAAGUGAAAGCCCGGGGCUCAACCCCGGGACUGCUUUGGAAACUAUGCAGCUAGAGUGUCGGAGAGGUAAGUGGAAUUCCCAGUGUAGCGGUGAAAUGCGUAGAUAUUGGGAGGAACACCAGUGGCGAAGGCGGCUUACUGGACGAUGACUGACGUUGAGGCUCGAAAGCGUGGGGAGCAAACAGGAUUAGAUACCCUGGUAGUCCACGCCGUAAACGAUGACUACUAGGUGUCGGGGGGCAAAGCUCUUCGGUGCCGCAGCAAACGCAAUAAGUAGUCCACCUGGGGAGUACGUUCGCAAGAAUGCA